Molecule: ribosomal RNA, 253 nt
Filed under: uncultured bacterium
Lineage: Bacteria
Description: partial 16S ribosomal RNA
Rfam family: Bacterial small subunit ribosomal RNA
Source: RNAcentral
UACGAACUGUGCGAACGUUAUUCGGAAUCACUGGGCUUACAGGGUGCGUAGGCUGCGAUGCAAGUCAGGUGUGAAAGCCCACGGCUCAACCGUGGAACUGCGCUUGAAACUGCGUUGCUUGAGUGAGCUAGAGGUAGACGGAACUUCCGGUGGAGCGGUGAAAUGUGUUGAUAUCGGAAGGAACACCAGAGGCGAAAGCGGUCUACUGGAGCUUGUCUGACGCUGAGGCACGAAAGCCAGGGGAGCAAACGGG